This 254-nucleotide ribosomal RNA is filed under the name uncultured bacterium. RNAcentral's name for it is "partial 16S ribosomal RNA". It matches the Rfam family "Bacterial small subunit ribosomal RNA", at positions 524 to 776 of the family's 1533-position model. The record is from RNAcentral.
UACGUAGGGCGCAAGCGUUGUCCGAAGAUUAUUGGGCGUAAAGAGCUCGUAGGCGGUCUGUCGCGUCCGUUGUGAAAACUCGAGGCUCAACCUCGGGCUUGCAGUGGAUACGGGCAGACUAGAGUGCGGUAGGGGAGACUGGAAUUCCUGGUGUAGCGGUGGAAUGCGCAGAUAUCAGGAGGAACACCGAUGGCGAAGGCAGGUCUCUGGGCCGCAACUGACGCUGAGGAGCGAAAGCAUGGGGAGCGAACAGG